RNAcentral lists this unclassified non-coding RNA (682 nucleotides) under Melitaea cinxia (Glanville fritillary). RNAcentral describes it as "misc RNA ENSMCXG00005014627.1". The record is from RNAcentral. Lineage: Eukaryota; Metazoa; Arthropoda; Insecta; Lepidoptera; Nymphalidae.
UUAGUAGCUCUGUGCGCUGUUGUGGCGGUGUCCUCGGCCGGACUCCUGCCCGCUGCUGUACACUACUCCCCCGCCGCCGCUGUCUCCUCCCAGAGCAUCGUACGCCACGACGAGCACGCUGCUCCUAUCGCUAAGGUUGCCGUCGCUGCCCCAGUCGCCUACCACGCCGGUCCCGCCGUCUCCUACCGCGCCGCCCCUGCUGCCGUUACCUACCACGCAGCUCCCGCUGUCGCUUACCACGCUGCUCCCGCCGCCGUAGCCUACCACGCUGCUCCAGUAACUAAAAUUAUUGCUCAACCUGAAGAAAUCGCUCACCCCAAAUACGAGUACUCUUACUCUGUAGCUGACGGACACACCGGUGACAACAAGCAACAGCAUGAGAUCCGCGACGGUGAUAUCGUAAAGGGCUCCUACUCUUUCCUUGAGGCUGAUGGUUCAGUCAGAACCGUAGAGUACUCCGCUGAUGACCACAACGGUUUCAACGCCGUUGUACACAACAGUGCACCAACUGCCGCUCCUGCUAUCAUCAAGGCCGCCCCCGUCGUGGUCAAGUCCCCUGUCUACGCCGCCCCUACUCUCCAGUAUUACCAUCAUUGAUUACAAUCACAUUGUACCAAUAUAACUGAUAAUGAUUUAUUUAUUUCAAUACACACUUAAACUCUAAAAAAUUAGUUUUUCUCAC